RNAcentral lists this ribosomal RNA (522 nucleotides) under uncultured bacterium. RNAcentral describes it as "bacterial SSU rRNA". It matches the Rfam family "Bacterial small subunit ribosomal RNA", at positions 791 to 1314 of the family's 1533-position model. The record is from RNAcentral.
CAGUCCACGCCGUAAACGAUGGACACUUGGUGUUGGAGGUAUUGACCCCUUCAGUGCCGGAGCUAACGCGUUAAGUGUCCCGCCUGGGGAGUACGGUCGCAAGAUUAAAACUCAAAGAAAUUGACGGGGGCCCGCACAAGCGGUGGAGCAUGUGGUUUAAUUCGAUGCAACGCGAAGAACCUUACCUGGGUUCGAAAUCCAUUGGAAUAUAUUAGAGAUAGUAUAGCUCUUCGGAGCCGGUGGAUCAGGUGCUGCAUGGUUGUCGUCAGCUCGUGUCGUGAGAUGUUGGGUUAAGUCCCGCAACGAGCGCAACCCUUACCUUUAGUUGCCAGCAUUUAGUUGGGCACUCUAAAGGGACUGCCGACGUUAAGUCGGAGGAAGGUGGGGAUGACGUCAAGUCCUCAUGGCCCUUAUGUCCAGGGCUACACACGUGCUACAAUGUUGGUACAGAGGGUCGCUAAACAGUGAUGUUAUGCUAAUCCCUUAAAGCCAAUCUAAGUUCGGAUUGGAGUCUGCAACUCG